This 428-nucleotide ribosomal RNA is filed under the name Chloroflexota bacterium. RNAcentral describes it as "Chloroflexi bacterium partial 16S ribosomal RNA". It matches the Rfam family "Bacterial small subunit ribosomal RNA", at positions 355 to 776 of the family's 1533-position model. Lineage: Bacteria; Bacillati; Chloroflexota. The record is from RNAcentral.
UGGGGAAUAUUGCACAAUGGGCGCAAGCCUGAUGCAGCCAUGCCGCGUGUAUGAAGAAGGCCUUCGGGUUGUAAAGUACUUUCAGCGGGGAGGAAGGGAGUAAAGUUAAUACCUUUGCUCAUUGACGUUACCCGCAGAAGAAGCACCGGCUAACUCCGUGCAGCAGCCGCGGUAAUACGGAGGGUGCAAGCGUUAAUCGGAAUUACUGGGCGUAAAGCGCACGCAGGCGGUUUGUUAAGUCAGAUGUGAAAUCCCCGGGCUCAACCUGGGAACUGCAUUCGAAACUGGCAGGCUAGAGUCUUGUAGAGGGGGGUAGAAUUCCAGGUGUAGCGGUGAAAUGCGUAGAGAUCUGGAGGAAUACCGGUGGCGAAGGCGGCCCCCUGGACAAAGACUGACGCUCAGGUGCGAAAGCGUGGGGAGCAAACAGG